GAUGAACGCUCGCUACAGGCUUAACACAUGCAAGUCGAGGGGCAGCAUGGUCUUAGCUUGCUAAGGCCGAUGGCGACCGGCGCACGGGUGAGUAACACGUAUCCAACCUGCCGUCUACUCUUGGACAGCCUUCUGAAAGGAAGAUUAAUACAAGAUGGCAUCAUGAGUCCGCAUGUUCACAUGAUUAAAGGUAUUCCGGUAGACGAUGGGGAUGCGUUCCAUUAGAUAGUAGGCGGGGUAACGGCCCACCUAGUCUUCGAUGGAUAGGGGUUCUGAGAGGAAGGUCCCCCACAUUGGAACUGAGACACGGUCCAAACUCCUACGGGAGGCAGCAGUGAGGAAUAUUGGUCAAUGGGCGCAGGCCUGAACCAGCCAAGUAGCGUGAAGGAUGACUGCCCUAUGGGUUGUAAACUUCUUUUAUAAAGGAAUAAAGUCGGGUAUGUAUACCCGUUUGCAUGUACCUUAUGAAUAAGGAUCGGCUAACUCCGUG
Molecule: ribosomal RNA, 490 nt
Filed under: uncultured bacterium
Lineage: Bacteria
Description: partial 16S ribosomal RNA
Rfam family: Bacterial small subunit ribosomal RNA
Source: RNAcentral